Molecule: ribosomal RNA, 497 nt
Filed under: uncultured bacterium
Lineage: Bacteria
Description: partial 16S ribosomal RNA
Rfam family: Bacterial small subunit ribosomal RNA
Source: RNAcentral
GAUGAACGCUGGCGGCGUGCCUAAUACAUGCAAGUCGAGCGAACAGACGAGGAGCUUGCUCCUCUGGCGUUAGCGGCGGACGGGUGAGUAACACGUGGAUAACCUACCUAUAAGACUGGGAUAACUUCGGGAAACCGGAGCUAAUACCGGAUAAUAUAUUGAACCGCAUGGUUCAAUAGUGAAAGACGGUUUUGCUGUCACUUAUAGAUGGAUCCGCGCCGCAUUAGCUAGUUGGUAAGGUAACGGCUUACCAAGGCAACGAUGCGUAGCCGACCUGAGAGGGUGAUCGGCCACACUGGAACUGAGACACGGUCAAGACUCCUACGGGAGGCAGCAGUAGGGAAUCUUACGCAAUGGGCGAAAGCCUGACGGAGCAACGCCGCGUGAGUGAUGAAGGUCUUCGGAUCGUAAAACUCUGUUAUUAGGGAAGAACAAAUGUGUAAGUAACUAUGCACGUCUUGACGGUACCUAAUCAGAAAGCCACGGCUAACUACGUG